GCUUCAGAGCUCUGUGAGCUCUGCUCUGGGACUUUGGAUGGAAUGUCCCUGUUUCAUCCCUUGGAUGAACAUGGGUUCUGACAGCUGCUCAGCAGCAGAUGCUCUCCUCACUAUUCCCUUCUUUUUCCCCACUCCCAGCCUGUUUCAGUUUCUCAGUGCUUUGUCUUAGGUGGCCGCUGAGCACCCAGAAGCUUCCAGGUGUGGCUGUAAAGUAGGGUGAAGGCACUCCUGACAUCGUGGCGUGGUGUAAGGAGGAGAGCAAAGCAAAAUUUGGGGAAUCCUUUCCACUAUUAGAGGGAAUUUCUCCAAGCUGUAGUGCUGAUGGCUGCAGCAGAGAGCCCGGAGCUGAGCAGAAAAUGCGAACGGGUCAUUGCAUCAACAGCUGGAAAAAGGCAGUGGCUGUGAACAUGAUGGAUCUUGCAGGUGAGAACGUUCCGAGAGCAGCUGAGGCCCUGCAGUCACCAUCCGCUCGCCGCUGGCUCGGUCUGCUCACUGCUUUGCAGCCAGGACACCGGCAGUGCUUCUUCUCCACUUUUCCUAUUCCUGGAGCCUCCUUGUCAGCCGUGUGCGCCCUCACGCUGGCUGCCCACAGUGCUGGCACUUGCAGGCUGUUAUUGCAAAAGCUCAGCUCUGCAGAGCCAGGCUGGCAGUCCCAAGAAGACGUCUGGUCCUGAGCGGGGUCACCCAUCCCUGCAUGGCUCUGCGGGGUCCGGCGGCAUCAUCCCAUCAUCCGCUUCAUAACCGUUGCUAAUUGGAAAAUGAAACCAUAAGAAGAAAAUCUGCUUCAAGUUAUUGCAUGGGCUUUUGUCCCCCACCGAGGAGGCACAAAUCAAGGAAUCAGAAUGUUUAACAAAACAAACAGAGAUUUCUUUGGUAUUGUGGGAGAUUUAUAGGCUGCGGCAUCCAGAGAAGCCUCCUCCCGCUCCGUCCUUCUGCUUGAAUUCCUGCUGGUCACUGACUUAUUACUUUUCUUACUGCUUCCCCUGCUUUAAAAGUGGGGAAAGCACAAUCAAAUUAUCAUAAUACUCAUUUGGUUAAUUGCCCAUUUAGUUACUUAUUGAGUUCAUUAAAAAGACAGUGUCAGUUAGGAGGAAAUGCAGAGAGGUGGGCAGUGAGGGGACAGGAUGUGGGCUGAAAUAGGCCAUUACUCCGGCCCCGAGAAUGGCAGUUUGUGUCCCUUCUUUAUUGCUGCAUCACUUCUGUGCAUGAUUUGUUCUGGAUAAAAAAAAAAAAAAACCCAAACCAACCCAACAAGCACAAAGCAAAAGGAGAAAGCCUGCUGCCGCAGAUCUCCAUUGCGCGUUAGAAUCCAUUUAGCAUCAAUCCAAAGCUCUGCAGAAGCCCAAACCACCUAUUUUAGGAUCCUUUUUUCAGCUGAGAAAAAUGUGCUGCUCCACAGGUCAGGAGCUGCCUGCAAUUAUGACCCCGAAUAGAUAGAAACGUUGCUUCUUGAGACAAAUUCCAUCUGACAGUUUUUACAGUACGUUCGUUCAGAGCAAAAUGCCCUGUCCCCUGUCACCCG
Molecule: long non-coding RNA, 1522 nt
Filed under: Gallus gallus (chicken)
Lineage: Eukaryota; Metazoa; Chordata; Aves; Galliformes; Phasianidae
Description: lncRNA (ENSGALG00010017994.1)
Source: RNAcentral